CAGCCGCCGCGGGAAUACGAAGGGGGCUAGCGUUGUUCGGAAUUACUGGGCGUAAAGCGCACGUAGGCGGAUAUUUAAGUCAGGGGUGAAAUCCCAGAGCUCAACUCUGGAACUGCCUUUGAUACUGGGUAUCUUGAGUAUGGAAGAGGUGAGUGGAAUUCCGAGUGUAGAGGUGAAAUUCGUAGAUAUUCGGAGGAACACCAGUGGCGAAGGCGGCUCACUGGUCCAUUACUGACGCUGAGGUACGAAAGCGUGGGGAGCAAACAGGAUUAGAUACCCGCGUAGUCCCUGUCUCUUAUAC
This 301-nucleotide ribosomal RNA is filed under the name uncultured bacterium. Its description in RNAcentral is "partial 16S ribosomal RNA". It matches the Rfam family "Bacterial small subunit ribosomal RNA", at positions 509 to 807 of the family's 1533-position model. The record is from RNAcentral.